GAUGAAGAACGUAGCGAAAUGCGAUACGUAAUGUGAAUUGCAGAAUUCAGUGAAUCAUCGAGUCUUUGAACGCACAUUGCGCCCCCUGGUAUUCCGGGGGGCAUGCCUGUCCGAGCGUCAUUGCUGCCCUCAAGCACGGCUUGUGUGUUGGGCCUCCGUCCUCCUCCCGGGGGACGGGCCCGAAAGGCAGCGGCGGCACCGCGUCCGGUCCUCGAGCGUAUGGGGCUUCGUCACCCGCUCUUGUAGGCCCGGCCGGCGCUUGCCGACACAUCAAUCUUUUUUCCAGGUUGACCUCGGAUCAGGUAGGGAUACCCGCUGAACUUAAGCAUAUCAAUAAGCGGAGGC
RNAcentral lists this unclassified non-coding RNA (345 nucleotides) under soil metagenome. Its description in RNAcentral is "partial contains 5.8S ribosomal RNA, internal transcribed spacer 2, and large subunit ribosomal RNA". The stretch from base 1 to 120 matches the Rfam family "5.8S ribosomal RNA", at positions 35 to 154 of the family's 154-position model. The record is from RNAcentral.